Molecule: long non-coding RNA, 1184 nt
Filed under: Sinocyclocheilus anshuiensis
Lineage: Eukaryota; Metazoa; Chordata; Actinopteri; Cypriniformes; Cyprinidae
Description: lncRNA (ENSSANG00000011440.1)
Source: RNAcentral
GUUGUACAAGGGGAUGCACAAUCUCUAUUUGGUUGCGGGAAAUAUGUUUUAUUUUCUAAAUUAAGAAAUGACCGAAAACUUUUAAUGUAUCCCGUGUUUCAGACUGUAUCAGCAGACACUUUUAGAUGAGGAUGCUUUCGCCGACAGAGCCGACGAUCAUAUGUUUGAUCGGGAUGGUGUUAUGUCAUUUCUCCGACUGCUUUACAAACUAGCAGGUAAACUUGAAAAAAAAAAAAACAAGAAAAACAAGCCGUGGCAGAAAGCUUCACCUUUAUAACGACAUUUGACCGAAAAGACCCGAAAGCGUAUUUUCUUACCACUUUUAUCCGUAUUUAUUCGCUUAUGUUCUGUUUUUGCUUUUCGAUGUUUUAUUUGCUCUGUUUGGAUAAAUUGGAUUGGAUUAAAAAGCCAAAGGACCUUGUUGGUGGCUUUGCUUUGGAAAUAGUGCCGACUAUACAUAACUUGUGGUCUGAAUACGAAAAAUCUCUUUAAUGCUAAGAAAUAACUGUAUUUGCUUCCUGUUUACGCCGACGAAAGCAACCUGAGGAGUUCAUACUAAGUUUGUGUGCGAUCCGAUAAACCAGCUGCAGCUCGAGCUCACAGCUGUUCAGUAAAUUAGUGUAUCAAGCUGACACUAUUUCGUUUGGAAAAUAAAACAAAAUGCGAUAGACACGGGAAAGCAGUUCAUUCAGUUAAAUUGGAUCGGGUAUUUUGGCGUGAGGCCUGCUGGUCGGGCUUUUGCCGGGUGAGAUUUGGGGGUUAGGCCGCGUCAGGUCGCGUUCAGCCCGGCCGUGAGUAACGAGCAGUCCCGGCGCCAGAGGACGAGCUAUGGAGAGGAUGGAGGUGGACCAGUGCGCAUGCGCAGGAGGAGCCCUCCGAAGGUCGAACAGCGCCCCCAUGAUCACGAACGUCAGCGACGGGACGACAGUAUUCAGCUCUAAUAGUUCGGCUCGGUAUCGUCGGAGCAGCGUUUCUGUAAACCCGAGCUGUCCCUCCCGGGUGAGUGUUCAGGUGGUCUGUGAAUAUCAGUUUUGGGCAUUUAGUUUUCCAAAAACUUCGAAGAACCUUCAGCAAUUCGUUUGUGUUACAGACCCUUCCUCUGUCCCCAUUCUCCCUGUCAUGUGAGAGAUCCGAACACAAGAGACAGGUGAGAACUAAAGAAUCGAUUCUGUGAUGCUUUUAAA